GAUACAAGGAGAUGCACUUUCCCUUGGAUUUUAUCGGCCGUUCUGCUACGCGGAUGUGAGAUCCUAAUCUUUAGUAGACUUCAAAUUCAACGAUGAUCGAAAAAGUACGUUUACUUCCUAGUUGAAUUAAAUUGUCGGAAGUGUAUCAGUUGGGCUUUAUUGUUUACAACUACAAUAUUUCAACAUUAAUGGAAUAAAUAGAUAAUAAAGAGAUCUUGAAUCGUGACCAUUUUGUAAAAAAGAAGAAUUUAGUGGAUACUAAUGAGAAAAUAUCUUCUUAUAUAAGGAUUAAACUGAAUAUUUCUACCGUGAUAUAUUUUUAAGCAUUAAGAAGAGACUAUGAGAAUAGAAAGCUGUGUGAAUAAGAAGAGUACAAUUGACAAGUAAGAUGGGGUGAUGGUGAUUCCUUGUAACAUGAUAGAAGAUACAACUAAUUAACUAUAUUAUGUAUGCGUGACUUCGAAAAAGCGGAUUCACGGAUAUACAUAUUAUAUCCGCUUUCGGAUGAUACUUAAUAUAGAGAGUCAACAACUCUCGAUACGGUAAAUGCGGAUGAUUCACUUUCUCUGAUACAGUUAGAGGAAUGAAAUUACACACUUUAAAACGACAAAAACAAAAACAAAAUGAAGGGAAUAACAAAAAUCCGUAAUUUUAUUUACUUUCUAUUUAAACAAAGAUUCAAACAUUUCAGUGGAGAAUAAAAAUAAAUUGAAAUGAAAAUAAACACGUGAAACUAUUUCAAAAAGACAAAGUAAAACGUUAAAGGAUCCUUUCGAGUAUUUAAGGAUCACAAACCCUCAUCGAGUAUCCAAACUUGAUAUCCUCGAAGGUAACAAAAAAAGGAGUAAAAUAAAAAAAGAUGGGUCGAUAAUGAAACUAAGGUCGACAAGUUUUCGAGUGUGAAAGUUAAUGUGCAUCGUUUGAUUCUCCUUUAUCGGAAAAUUUCCGCAUAUUCCGAAUACGUGACCGGUCCAUGCCCAACGUGCUGAUUUUAUUUAAGUGUCCAUUGAACCCGAUAAUAUUGGAUGAAACAACAUUGUGCAAAAUAAUUGUGUUGGAUACUAUCUAGUCAUUUUGAUUUAUCGUAAUCUUUUUAUCCUUGAAAAUUUAUCAGUGGUGACAAAUCGAUAACGAAUAAUACAAUGAUAGACAUAUU
Polistes dominula (European paper wasp) is the source of this 1156-nucleotide long non-coding RNA. The record is from RefSeq and is a predicted model, not a curated record. NCBI's taxonomy places the organism in Eukaryota, Metazoa, Arthropoda, Insecta, Hymenoptera, Vespidae.